CUGACAUUGUCCUGAGAAGCUCACACUUCAAUAAAGAAUCCUAGGGGUGCCACAUUACUUAGAGACCCAAACACACAGAUAACCAAAUAUACCAGGAGUUUUCUGUGUGCAGGCAGGUUCUGGGGUCAGUAUGGGGUGUGGGCUUGUCUUCUAUCUGUGUUCAGGCAGGUUCUGGGGUCAGUAUGGGGGUGUGGGCUUGUCUUCUAUCUGUGUUCAGGCAGGUUCUGG
This is a non-coding RNA of Pelobates cultripes (western spadefoot toad), 228 nucleotides long. The record is from the annotation of a GenBank genome assembly. NCBI's taxonomy places the organism in Eukaryota, Metazoa, Chordata, Amphibia, Anura, Pelobatidae.